This is a long non-coding RNA of Dromaius novaehollandiae (emu), 1439 nucleotides long. RefSeq lists it as uncharacterized. The record is from RefSeq and is a predicted model, not a curated record. Lineage: Eukaryota; Metazoa; Chordata; Aves; Casuariiformes; Dromaiidae. The transcript is spliced from 5 exons.
GGCCCGGCCUCGCCGCCGCCCGCGCCUCGGCACCCCGCUGCCGAGCCGCCCCCGGGGCGCCGCGCUUCUCCGAGAGUCUCGGAAGCCCUUGAGGCGCGGCCCCAGCCGGCAGGGCUCGGCGCAACCCCCGCGGGGCUCAGGGCCGCCGAGGGAACCCCUGCCGCCCCCACGCACCGGGGCCGCUCCCGGGGCCGGGACAGCAGGGUCCCGGGGGCACGGCCACGUCCCGCGCUGGCCUCCGUGAGGCCUCAGCGCCGCAGGCCACAGCUUCAGGGGAGCUCUCUGCAGAAAUGCUUGAGUAACGGGGAGCCACGGCCCUGGCGCCUGCGGGAGCCUUUGGGCAGGCGCAUGGGAGAGGAGAGGCAGAGACCCCGGGCGAUCUGGAAAGCAAGUAGUGCAGGGGCACGAAGUCUUCCUUCUGUGGGAGUCCCCCCGCAACCGUGCAGAGACCAGGAAGAGGAGGCAUCUGAGUCACUUAGGGGCAUGAAAGCACCAUGGACAAGAGAGCAGGAAACCCAGGAAGAGCUGUAGCCUCAAAAUCUCCAGUAAAUCUCAGACCCGCCAACCUUGUGCUCUGCGACUGCAGAUAUCAGUGAACUGAAACAUCCGAAUGACUUUCUCCUAAACAAGAUGAUUACACAGCAAAGUUGGCUUGCCCCAAGAAAUGCAUGUCCACAAUUCAGAGCAGGAGCACAGCCAGUGCAAGCAAGGUUGACACCAUGCUGACAGGAUGACUUCCAGAAGCAAUGCAAUCCUGGCCAAACUUCUCCCUUGCUGCCAGCACCAAGAAGUGCUCAUACCAAGUUCUCUUGGGCCCUACACUAGCCCAGCCAUGCCGAGUUCAGUCCCCAAACCACUGUGCCUCUGCGCUUCCACACUUAUCCCACCUUGACGCCGUCCCUGCUGGACGACUCACAACAGAAAUGCCGUCCUGGACGCUCUACUGCCUUGCCAUGCCCACCAGCAAGUGCUCCCAGCCAAGGACUCUUUGGCCCUACACUGGCCUGCGCAUGUGUGGCCACCCUCGCAAUUACUGACCCUCUGCCCUUCCCCUCAAGCCACUCCACUCCUUGGCGAGGAAGCUGACGGAGUGCUGGGAGCUCUGGCAUUCCUGUGUGGUGCCUCGGCCCCAGCGGUGCCAGAGUCUGGCUGGGGGUCUGCCCAGCCGUAAUGCUGAGGGAGCAGGCUGCGGCCCAUGCCAAGGAGUGGCUGCCGUCCCCCAGGGCCUGCCUGGAGGAGAGGUGCCAGUGCUUUGGACUGGGAUGUGGUGAGCCAAAGACUUAGAGCCCGCAGAAGAGCUUGGCAGGAUUCGGGCGGCUGAGUCACACACACACUGUCCCCCCAAAACCUUUCCCUCGCCUCCUCUCUGGCGUGGCAGUCCCCAAGUCACCUGCUAGGGCAUGGCCGGGGUGAGAGCUGCCCGGUAGAGGGGCUGCCCC